This 549-nucleotide ribosomal RNA is filed under the name uncultured Glomeromycotina. RNAcentral's name for it is "SSU rRNA". It matches the Rfam family "Eukaryotic small subunit ribosomal RNA", at positions 548 to 1098 of the family's 1831-position model. Lineage: Eukaryota; Fungi; Glomeromycota. The record is from RNAcentral.
UUGGAGGGCAAGUCUGGUGCCAGCAGCCGCGGUAAUUCCAGCUCCAAUAGCGUAUAUUAAAGUUGUUGCAGUUAAAAAGCUCGUAGUUGAAUUUCGGGAUCAAGGUGCCGGUCAUGCCUUUGGUAUGUACUGACAUCAUUGAUUUCUCCCUUCUGAUGAACUGUGAUGUCAUUAAUUUGGUGUCAUGGAGAAUCAGGACUUUUACUUUGAAAAAAUUAGAGUGUUUAAAGCAAGCUCACGCUUGAAUACAUUAGCAUGGAAUAAUGAAAUAGGACGUUUGAUCCUAUUUUGUUGGUUUCUAGGAUUGACGUAAUGAUUAAUAGGGAUAGUUGGGGGCAUUAGUAUUCAAUUGUCAGAGGUGAAAUUCUUGGAUUUAUUGAAGACUAACUACUGCGAAAGCAUUUGCCAAGGAUGUUUUCAUUAAUCAAGAACGAAAGUUAGGGGAUCGAAGACGAUCAGAUACCGUCGUAGUCUUAACCAUAAACUAUGCCGACUAGGGAUCGGAUGAUGUUAAUUUUUUAAUGACUCAUUCGGCGCCUUACGGGAAAC